This 69-nucleotide transfer RNA is filed under the name Methylobacterium sp. WL2. RNAcentral's name for it is "tRNA-Ser". Lineage: Bacteria; Pseudomonadati; Pseudomonadota; Alphaproteobacteria; Hyphomicrobiales; Methylobacteriaceae. The record is from RNAcentral.
GGCGGCAAGGCCUAGAUGACAGGAAUCAUAAUCCUCGUGUCGGGGGUUCGAGUCCCUCUCCCGCUACCA